This 499-nucleotide ribosomal RNA is filed under the name uncultured bacterium. RNAcentral's name for it is "partial 16S ribosomal RNA". It matches the Rfam family "Bacterial small subunit ribosomal RNA", at positions 30 to 523 of the family's 1533-position model. The record is from RNAcentral.
AUUGAACGCUGGCGGCAGGCCUAACACAUGCAAGUCGAGCGGAUGAAGAGAGCUUGCUCUCUGAUUCAGCGGCGGACGGGUGAGUAAUGCCUAGGAAUCUGCCUGGUAGUGGGGGACAACGUUUCGAAAGGAACGCUAAUACCGCAUACGUCCUACGGGAGAAAGUGGGGAUCUUCGGACCUCACGCUAUCAGAUGAGCCUAGGUACGAUUAGCUAGUUGGUGAGGUAAAGGCUCACCAAGGCGACGAUCGUUAACUGGUCUGAGAGGAUGAUCAAUAACACUGGAACUGAGACACGGUCCAGACUCCGACGGGAGGCAGCAGUGGGGAAUAUUGGACAAUGGGCGAAAGCCUGAUCCAGCCAUGCCGCGGGUGUGAAGAAGGUCUUCGGAUUGUAAAGCACUUUAAGUUGGGAGGAAGGGCAGUAAGUUAAUACCUUGCUGUUUUGACGUUACCGACAGAAUAAGCACCGGCUAACUUCGUGCCAGCCGCCGCCGUAA